This 253-nucleotide ribosomal RNA is filed under the name uncultured bacterium. RNAcentral describes it as "partial 16S ribosomal RNA". It matches the Rfam family "Bacterial small subunit ribosomal RNA", at positions 524 to 776 of the family's 1533-position model. The record is from RNAcentral.
UACGAGGGGGGCAAGCGUUGUUCGGAAUUAUUGGGCGUAAAGGGUGCGUAGGCGGUUUGGUAAGUCUUAUGUGAAAUCUACAGGCUCAACUUGUAGUCUGCAUGAGAAACUGCCGGGCUUGAGUAUGGGAGAGGUGAGUGGAAUUCCUGGUGUAGCUGUGAAAUGCGUAGAUAUCAGGAGGAACACCUGUGGCGAAAGCGGCUCACUGGACCAUAACUGACGCUGAUGCACGAAAGCUAGGGGAGCAAACAGG